This 2924-nucleotide ribosomal RNA is filed under the name Enterobacter roggenkampii. RNAcentral's name for it is "23S ribosomal RNA". It matches the Rfam family "Bacterial large subunit ribosomal RNA". Lineage: Bacteria; Pseudomonadati; Pseudomonadota; Gammaproteobacteria; Enterobacterales; Enterobacteriaceae. The record is from RNAcentral.
GGGUUGUGAGGUUAAGCGACUAAGCGUACACGGUGGAUGCCCUGGCAGUCAGAGGCGAUGAAGGACGUGCUAAUCUGCGAAAAGCGCCGGCGAGGUGAUAUGAACCUUUGACCCGGCGAUGUCCGAAUGGGGAAACCCAGUGUGUUCCGACACACUAUCGUUAACUGAAUACAUAGGUUAACGAGGCGAACCGGGGGAACUGAAACAUCUAAGUACCCCGAGGAAAAGAAAUCAACCGAGAUUCCCCCAGUAGCGGCGAGCGAACGGGGAGCAGCCCAGAGUCUGAAUCAGCUUGUGUGUUAGUGGAAGCGUCUGGAAAGUCGCACGGUACAGGGUGACAGUCCCGUACACGAAAGCACACAGGUUGUGAACUCGAAGAGUAGGGCGGGACACGUGGUAUCCUGUCUGAAUAUGGGGGGACCAUCCUCCAAGGCUAAAUACUCCUGACUGACCGAUAGUGAACCAGUACCGUGAGGGAAAGGCGAAAAGAACCCCGGCGAGGGGAGUGAAAUAGAACCUGAAACCGUGUACGUACAAGCAGUGGGAGCACCUUCGUGGUGUGACUGCGUACCUUUUGUAUAAUGGGUCAGCGACUUAUAUUCUGUAGCAAGGUUAACCGUAUAGGGGAGCCGAAGGGAAACCGAGUCUUAACUGGGCGUUAAGUUGCAGGGUAUAGACCCGAAACCCGGUGAUCUAGCCAUGGGCAGGUUGAAGGUUGGGUAACACUAACUGGAGGACCGAACCGACUAAUGUUGAAAAAUUAGCGGAUGACUUGUGGCUGGGGGUGAAAGGCCAAUCAAACCGGGAGAUAGCUGGUUCUCCCCGAAAGCUAUUUAGGUAGCGCCUCGUGAACUCAUCUUCGGGGGUAGAGCACUGUUUCGGCUAGGGGGCCAUCCCGGCUUACCAACCCGAUGCAAACUACGAAUACCGAAGAAUGUUAUCACGGGAGACACACGGCGGGUGCUAACGUCCGUCGUGAAGAGGGAAACAACCCAGACCGCCAGCUAAGGUCCCAAAGUCAUGGUUAAGUGGGAAACGAUGUGGGAAGGCACAGACAGCCAGGAUGUUGGCUUAGAAGCAGCCAUCAUUUAAAGAAAGCGUAAUAGCUCACUGGUCGAGUCGGCCUGCGCGGAAGAUGUAACGGGGCUAAACCAUGCACCGAAGCUGCGGCAGCGACACUAUGUGUUGUUGGGUAGGGGAGCGUUCUGUAAGCCGUUGAAGGUGGCCUGUGAGGGUUGCUGGAGGUAUCAGAAGUGCGAAUGCUGACAUAAGUAACGAUAAAGCGGGUGAAAAGCCCGCUCGCCGGAAGACCAAGGGUUCCUGUCCAACGUUAAUCGGGGCAGGGUGAGUCGACCCCUAAGGCGAGGCCGAAAGGCGUAGUCGAUGGGAAACAGGUUAAUAUUCCUGUACUUGGUGUUACUGCGAAGGGGGGACGGAGAAGGCUAUGUUAGCCGGGCGACGGUUGUCCCGGUUUAAGCAUGUAGGCGGAGGUUCCAGGUAAAUCCGGUACCUUUUAACGCUGAGGUGUGAUGACGAGGCACUACGGUGCUGAAGUAACAAAUGCCCUGCUUCCAGGAAAAGCCUCUAAGCAUCAGGUAACAUCAAAUCGUACCCCAAACCGACACAGGUGGUCAGGUAGAGAAUACCAAGGCGCUUGAGAGAACUCGGGUGAAGGAACUAGGCAAAAUGGUGCCGUAACUUCGGGAGAAGGCACGCUGAUAUGUAGGUGAAGCCCCUGCGGGUGGAGCUGAAAUCAGUCGAAGAUACCAGCUGGCUGCAACUGUUUAUUAAAAACACAGCACUGUGCAAACACGAAAGUGGACGUAUACGGUGUGACGCCUGCCCGGUGCCGGAAGGUUAAUUGAUGGGGUUAGCGGCAACGCGAAGCUCUUGAUCGAAGCCCCGGUAAACGGCGGCCGUAACUAUAACGGUCCUAAGGUAGCGAAAUUCCUUGUCGGGUAAGUUCCGACCUGCACGAAUGGCGUAAUGAUGGCCAGGCUGUCUCCACCCGAGACUCAGUGAAAUUGAACUCGCUGUGAAGAUGCAGUGUACCCGCGGCAAGACGGAAAGACCCCGUGAACCUUUACUAUAGCUUGACACUGAACACUGGUCCUUGAUGUGUAGGAUAGGUGGGAGGCUUUGAAGUGUGGACGCCAGUCUGCAUGGAGCCGUCCUUGAAAUACCACCCUUUAAUGGCUGGUGUUCUAACGUAGACCCGUAAUCCGGGUUGCGGACAGUGUCUGGUGGGUAGUUUGACUGGGGCGGUCUCCUCCCAAAGAGUAACGGAGGAGCACGAAGGUUAGCUAAUCCUGGUCGGACAUCAGGAGGUUAGUGCAAUGGCAUAAGCUAGCUUGACUGCGAGAGUGACGGCUCGAGCAGGUGCGAAAGCAGGUCAUAGUGAUCCGGUGGUUCUGAAUGGAAGGGCCAUCGCUCAACGGAUAAAAGGUACUCCGGGGAUAACAGGCUGAUACCGCCCAAGAGUUCAUAUCGACGGCGGUGUUUGGCACCUCGAUGUCGGCUCAUCACAUCCUGGGGCUGAAGUAGGUCCCAAGGGUAUGGCUGUUCGCCAUUUAAAGUGGUACGCGAGCUGGGUUUAGAACGUCGUGAGACAGUUCGGUCCCUAUCUGCCGUGGGCGCUGGAGAAUUGAGGGGGCUGCUCCUAGUACGAGAGGACCGGAGUGGACGCAUCACUGGUGUUCGGGUUGUCAUGCCAAUGGCACUGCCCGGUAGCUAAAUGCGGAAAAGAUAAGUGCUGAAAGCAUCUAAGCACGAAACUUGCCCCGAGAUGAGUUCUCCCUGAGACUUUAAGUCUCCUGAAGGAACGUUGAAGACGACGACGUUGAUAGGUCGGGUGUGUAAGCGCAGCGAUGCGUUGAGCUAACCGAUACUAAUGAACCGUGAGGCUUAACCUUACAACGCCGAAG